AACACGUGUGCAACCUGCCUUUAUCAGGGGGAUAGCCUUUCGAAAGGAAGAUUAAUACCCCAUAAUAUUUAGAAUGGCAUCAUUUUAAAUUGAAAACUCCGGUGGAUAGAGAUGGGCACGCGCAAGAUUAGAUAGUUGGUGAGGUAACGGCUCACCAAGUCUGCGAUCUUUAGGGGGCCUGAGAGGGUGAUCCCCCACACUGGUACUGAGACACGGACCAGACUCCUACGGGAGGCAGCAGUGAGGAAUAUUGGACAAUGGGUGGGAGCCUGAUCCAGCCAUCCCGCGUGAAGGACGACGGCCCUAUGGGUUGUAAACUUCUUUUGUAUAGGGAUAAACCUACCCUCGUGAGGGUAGCUGAAGGUACUAUACGAAUAAGCACCGGCUAACUCCGUGCCAGCAGCCGCGGUAAUACGGAGGGUGCAAGCGUUAUCCGGAUUUAUUGGGUUUAAAGGGUCCGUAGGCGGAUCUGUAAGUCAGUGGUGAAAUCUCACAGCUUAACUGUGAAACUGCCAUUGAUACUGCAGGUCUUGAGUGUUGUUGAAGUAGCUGGAAUAAGUAGUGUAGCGGUGAAAUGCAUAGAUAUUACUUAGAACACCAAUUGCGAAG
Molecule: ribosomal RNA, 609 nt
Filed under: Chryseobacterium sp.
Lineage: Bacteria; Pseudomonadati; Bacteroidota; Flavobacteriia; Flavobacteriales; Weeksellaceae
Description: bacterial SSU rRNA
Rfam family: Bacterial small subunit ribosomal RNA
Source: RNAcentral